GUCCUACGGGAGGCAGCAGUCGGGAAUAUUGCACAAUGGGGGAAACCCUGAUGCAGCGACGCCGCGUGAGUGAAGAAGUAUUUCGGUAUGUAAAGCUCUAUCAGCAGGGAAGAAGAUGACAGUACCUGAGUAAGAAGCCCCGGCUAACUACGUGCCAGCAGCCGCGGUAAUACGUAGGGGGCAAGCGUUAUCCGGAUUUACUGGGUGUAAAGGGAGCGUAGACGGCGGGGCAAGUCUGGAGUGAAAGGCCGGGGCCCAACCCCGGGACCGCUCUGGAAACUGCCCGGCUGGGGUGGGGGAGAGGG
This 305-nucleotide ribosomal RNA is filed under the name uncultured bacterium. RNAcentral's name for it is "bacterial SSU rRNA". It matches the Rfam family "Bacterial small subunit ribosomal RNA", at positions 335 to 658 of the family's 1533-position model. The record is from RNAcentral.